GAUGAACGCUGGCGGCGUGCCUAAUACAUGCAAGUCGAGCGAACAGACGAGGAGCUUGCUCCUCUGACGUUAGCGGCGGACGGGUGAGUAACACGUGGAUAACCUACCUAUAAGACUGGGAUAACUUCGGGAAACCGGAGCUAAUACCGGAUGAUAUAUUGAACCGCAUGGUUCAAUAGUGAAAGACGGUUUUGCUGUCACUUAUAGAUGGAUCCGCGCUGCAUUAGCUAGUUGGUAAGGUAACGGCUUACCAAGGCAACGAUGCAUAGCCGACCUGAGAGGGUGAUCGGCCACACUGGAACUGAGACACGGUCCAGACUCCUACGGGAGGCAGCAGUAGGGAAUCUUCCGCAAUGGGCGAAAGCCUGACGGAGCAACGCCGCGUGAGUGAUGAAGGUCUUCGGAUCGUAAAACUCUGUUAUUAGGGAAGAACAAAUGUGUAAGUAACUAUGCACAUCUUGACGGUACCUAAUCAGAAAGCCACGGCUAACUACGUG
This 497-nucleotide ribosomal RNA is filed under the name uncultured bacterium. RNAcentral describes it as "partial 16S ribosomal RNA". It matches the Rfam family "Bacterial small subunit ribosomal RNA", at positions 28 to 507 of the family's 1533-position model. The record is from RNAcentral.